UUUUAGCAUGGAUAAUGGAAUAGGACGUGUGGUCUUAUUUCGUUGGUUCCUAGGACCGCCGUAAUGAUUAAUAGGGACAGCCGGGGGCAUCAGUAUUCAAUCGUCAGAGGCGAAAUUCUUGGAUCGAUUGAAGACUAACUACUGCGAAAGCAUUUGCCAAGGAUGUUUUCAUUUAUCAGGAACGAAAGUUAGGGGAUCGAAGACGAUCAGAUACCGUCGUAGUCUUAACCAUAAACUAUGCCGACUAGGGAUCGGACGGUGUUAUUUCUUGACCCGUUCGGCACCUUACGAGAAAUCAAAGUGCUUGGGCUCCAGGGGGAGUAUGGUCGCAAGGCUGAAACUUAAAGAAAUUGACGGAAGGGCACCACCAGGGGUGGAGCCUGCGGCUUAAUUUGACUCAACACGGGGAAACUCACCAGGUCCAGACACAACGAGGAUUGACAGAUUGAGAGCUCUUUCUUGAUUUUGUGGGUGGUGGUGCAUGGCCGUUCUUAGUUGGUGGAGUGAUUUGUCUGCUUAAUUGCGAUAACGAACGAGACCUUAACCUGCUAAAUAGCCCGUAUUGCUUUGGCAGUACGCUGGCUUCUUAGAGGGACUAUCGGCUCAAGCCGAUGGAAGUUUGAGGCAAUAACAGGUCUGUGAUGCCCUUAGAUGUUCUGGGCCGCACGCGCGCUACACUGACGGAGCCAGCGAGUACUCCCUUGGCCGGAAGGCCCGGGUAAUCUUGUUAAACUCCGUCGUGCUGG
RNAcentral lists this ribosomal RNA (746 nucleotides) under uncultured fungus. Its description in RNAcentral is "SSU rRNA". It matches the Rfam family "Eukaryotic small subunit ribosomal RNA", at positions 802 to 1573 of the family's 1831-position model. Lineage: Eukaryota; Fungi. The record is from RNAcentral.